RNAcentral lists this transfer RNA (65 nucleotides) under Ageratum houstonianum (bluemink). RNAcentral's name for it is "tRNA-Cys". RNAcentral also lists the same sequence under 1 other name. Lineage: Eukaryota; Viridiplantae; Streptophyta; Magnoliopsida; Asterales; Asteraceae. The record is from RNAcentral.
CAAAACGAUACACAAUAGGAUCAAAAUUUACCUUUUGGGGUUGGAUUACUAAAUUUUAGUUUAUC